AAGGGAGCACUUUAGGACAGUUCUAUUAGAGACAGACUGUCAUGGAGUUGCUCUCUUAA
RNAcentral lists this microRNA precursor (59 nucleotides) under Eisenia fetida (common brandling worm). RNAcentral's name for it is "Efe-Mir-281-P7_pre stem-loop". Lineage: Eukaryota; Metazoa; Annelida; Clitellata; Crassiclitellata; Lumbricidae. The record is from RNAcentral.